UGCUGCAUGGUUGUCGUCAGCUCGUGCCGUGAGGUGUCGGGUUAAGUCCCAUAACGAGCGGCAACCCUCGUCCUUAGUUGCCAGCAUAGUUGGGCACUCUAAGGAGACUGCCGGUGUUAAACCGGAGGAAGGCGGGGAUGACGUCAAGUCCUCAUGGCCCUUAUGUCCAGGGCUACACACGUGCUACAAUGGCCGGUACAAAGGGUAGCAAGACCGCGAGGUGGAGCCAAUCCCAAAAAGCCGGUCUCAGUUCGGAUUGGAGUCUGCAACUCGACUCCAUGAAGUUGGAAUCGCUAGUAAUCGCGGAUCAGCAUGCCGCGGUGAAUACGUUCCCGGGCCUU
Molecule: ribosomal RNA, 341 nt
Filed under: uncultured Desulfuromonas sp.
Lineage: Bacteria; Pseudomonadati; Thermodesulfobacteriota; Desulfuromonadia; Desulfuromonadales; Desulfuromonadaceae
Description: bacterial SSU rRNA
Rfam family: Bacterial small subunit ribosomal RNA
Source: RNAcentral